RNAcentral lists this long non-coding RNA (372 nucleotides) under Phoenix dactylifera (date palm). RNAcentral's name for it is "long non-coding RNA (PDAC_LNC008009)". Lineage: Eukaryota; Viridiplantae; Streptophyta; Magnoliopsida; Arecales; Arecaceae. The record is from RNAcentral.
CGGACAGUGGUCGCGGGAAAGGAAUGGAAUUGGUUGGGAAUUGGCUUUGGAUUUGAGGUGGGUCAUGAUCGUUGACUUGCUUAAACUUAUUCUCGAGUCCAAUGUUAUUUAAUUCUUGCUAAACUGCUUCAGACCGAACUCGACCAGAUAAAAUAAACAAGACUAAAAACAAGAUCGUGACCUAAUAAAAAAAGGGUUAAUCAAACAUUUUUCCUCAUACAAGAAUAAUUAUCUAAUCAGAACCAAAACCUAUUUAAUCAUAGCCUUAGCUUGAUUACAACUCCAUCAGGUUACUAAACCGGAUCAACACAAUCUCCUCCUUAUAUAUUUUCAUGAAAGAUUACAACCAGGAGAGAGACAAGUUCAGAGUCU